AAUUCAGCUGAAUGAGAUUAAACACCUCCCAGGAUUGCUCUUGGCUUCUUUGUGGUGGUUGUCACCUUUUACCCAUCUGAGCUGCAGGACUACAAAAUCAUUAUCCCUUCGAUUCUGCUGUUCUGCAUGCCAGCAUUUUGCUUUUUCCUUGUUCCUCUGCACGUACUCUAGGCCUGGAUCUCUUCAUGCUGAAAGAAAAAGGAAAUGUGACCAGUAACUUCAAGGGCAGAAGGAGAGGAACUGCUCUUCUCCGUGAGACAUUUAAUCACAGCCAUGGUGGGUGCUCCCUGGGACAAACAAGCAGAAAUGCAGCUAAAGCACAAGCAAUCAGCCAGGAUCACCUGGAACUUAUUCCCUUGCUCCCAGUUGUACCUCUACAUGCCACCAUGCUGUUAGCGUGUUUGCAUUGGUACAGCACCCGGAUUCUUACUGGAGGGAAUAUUUGAACAAUUACGGGUCUGUUCACAGCCCCGUUCUGGCCUGGGGCUAAGCCAGGGGGUUGUUUGAGGACGGUGGUGUUUGGAGCCUGCCAGCUGACUGGUACCAGUGGGAUCAUACUGGAACAGACGGAAAGACCAGCAAGCCUAGAGGACAACGUAACAGCUGAGAAGCUCCCCCUGCACCCAGAGUAAAAACUGAGGAGUUUUUAGUGUUUUGAUACACCUUACACACCAGACGGCACAAGUCCAAGCUCCACCAGGAGAUCUCCCUCUCCUCAGCUGUCCCACUUCUAGGGACAUUCAUGGGGACCAAAGAGCUGGCAGUGCCUGAGCACUGGUUGGGAAAGGGGACUGUGUGUGCCUGAGUGGCCUGGAAAGUUGGACAUGGGUCCAGAUGUCACAGCAAAUAGGUUUGGAGCCUCUUGCAUGAGGGUGGGUUGUCACAGCUUCCCAACUCCAGGAGAGCAAUGAUCCCAGCUCUUGUGGCCGGCACAUCUUCAGAACACAUUUGAUGACAUUUUUGUCAGUUUUUAAGCAACGUGGACUACUUUAAAUGGGGAAAACAAACAAACAAACAAAAAAGAGUUUUUUGGGAAACGAACAAACAAAGAGUUUUUUGGGUACCAUUGGGGUCACUCUCUUCUUCUCCCCCAACACCCACUUUUCCUUCUUCAAUUAAAAUAAAGGAAAAAACAUACCAUUUAAACUUUGCCUA
Molecule: long non-coding RNA, 1155 nt
Filed under: Anser brachyrhynchus (Pink-footed goose)
Lineage: Eukaryota; Metazoa; Chordata; Aves; Anseriformes; Anatidae
Description: lncRNA (ENSABRG00000013944.1)
Source: RNAcentral